CCAGACUCCUACGGGAGGCAGCAGUGAGGAAUAUUGGUCAAUGGGCGGGAGCCUGAACCAGCCAAGUCGCGUGAGGGAAGACGGCCCUAUGGAUUGUAAACCUCUUUUGUCGGGGAGCAAAGAGGCCUCGUGAGGUCAAAAGCGAGAGUACCCGAAGAAAAAGCAUCGGCUAACUCCGUGCCAGCAGCCGCGGUAAUACGGAGGAUGCGAGCGUUAUCCGGUUUUAUUGGGUUUAAAGGGUGCGUAGGCGGUCCUUUAGAUCAGGGGUAAAAUUGGGGGGCUCACCCCCGGCGAGCCGUUGAAACUGGCAGACUUGAGUUGGCGAGAAGUACGCGGAAUGCGCGGUGUAGCGGUGAAAUGCAUAGAUAUCGCGCAGAACUCCGAUUGCGAAGGCAGCGUACCGGCGCCAGACUGACGCUGAGGCACGAAAGCGUGGGGAUCGAACAGGAUUAGAUACCCCAGUAAA
This 466-nucleotide ribosomal RNA is filed under the name uncultured bacterium. Its description in RNAcentral is "bacterial SSU rRNA". It matches the Rfam family "Bacterial small subunit ribosomal RNA", at positions 331 to 794 of the family's 1533-position model. The record is from RNAcentral.